RNAcentral lists this transfer RNA (63 nucleotides) under Salmonella enterica. RNAcentral's name for it is "tRNA-Pro". It matches the Rfam family "tRNA", at positions 6 to 65 of the family's 71-position model. From Rfam's summary of the family: Transfer RNA (tRNA) molecules are approximately 80 nucleotides in length. Their secondary structure includes four short double-helical elements and three loops (D, anti-codon, and T loops). Lineage: Bacteria; Pseudomonadati; Pseudomonadota; Gammaproteobacteria; Enterobacterales; Enterobacteriaceae. The record is from RNAcentral.
CGUAGCGCAGCCUGGUAGCGCACCGUCAUGGGGUGUCGGGGGUCGGAGGUUCAAAUCCUCUCG